Small nucleolar RNA from Macaca fascicularis (crab-eating macaque), 103 nucleotides. The record is from Ensembl. Lineage: Eukaryota; Metazoa; Chordata; Mammalia; Primates; Cercopithecidae.
AUCCUUUGGAGUUCAUAAACAUGAUGACUGGGUAUUCACGUGCACGGGUGAGAUGUGCCACCCUUGAACCUUGUUAUGAUGCUGGUACAUUACCUAUCUGACA